CUUUACGGGAGGGAGAGCGGCGUGGGGUGAGGUUUGUGUGUAUUGUGCUGCUGUGUCGCGUGGAAGUCGCGUGCGUGUCGAGUGUGUGAGUGGAUGCAGGAGUGUGAGUGGGUGUGCGUGAGGAGUGCGUGCACCCGCUUCUGCGCCCCUCUCCCCGCCUACACCUUGAUCUUAUUUGAUCGGGUCGUGACCCCAGCCCCGCCAGGCCAACCCGAAAUGAAAAGAUCCCCUCCUGCGAAGCCCCCCGGGGCGCUGUGCAGCGAGGCCCUUGGGCGGUGGCAGCGCUGUGGUCUCCGAGGUCCCGGAGCCGGUCCGACGGGGCCCGGCGCUCAGAAAUGAUGAACUGAUCAGAUAGACGAGGCCGGGCUUGUCCCGGGCCGCUGAUUAUCCAGGCGAUUCUGAUCUGA
Non-coding RNA from Trichechus manatus latirostris (Florida manatee), 407 nucleotides. RefSeq annotates it as small Cajal body-specific RNA 2. The record is from RefSeq and is a predicted model, not a curated record. The transcript has a single exon. Lineage: Eukaryota; Metazoa; Chordata; Mammalia; Sirenia; Trichechidae.